GUAGGUGGCGACAUUCUCUCUCACACACACACACACACACAUCUGUGAAGCUCCGAGCAUCCACCUCAGAGAGGAGGAACAUAUAUUAUUUACUAUAGGAGUUUAAUCCACAAUUGUGUAAGACUCAGAUUGUAUUGGGCUAAAUAUGUUCACUCUGCAUGUAACCGCUAACCGACGGGAUCUGACGUCUUUUGUAUUCAUAUUCACCACGGGGGGGUCGCUGCUGUCAGCGUUAGCUUAGCAUAGCUUGGCUACGGAGCACGGGUAAUGUAUGUUUGUCCGGCUAAACACCGUUACUUGCAGACACAUCGUGCACUUUGGCGUCGUCGCUCAUUGCUUCAGAAUUAUCAAAGUGAAGAUACAAUCGCCAAGUCAUAGACCAAACACCGAUACACACUGGUACGGUUUAACCUUAUAACGCUUAACGUUGACGUGCUUUCUCAAAGCAGUGUGUUGAGUCCGCUAACCAAGCUAGUGAGUCGCUGGCUGGGGGUUAGCCGCUAACGCUGGAGGUAAACAUGCACCGCACAUAAAACGAUGCAGAAUCAACCUGAUGCGGCUCGGGUUCAAGCUUAGCUCAAUGAAUGGUGCACCCAGGCGAAGUGAUGCAAAGUUAUCUCCAGACGGGUGUGAUUGGGGACGCCAGGUCGCUGUGCUGAGGACCCGAUGCCUUCGCUGAGCCUCCACGAAGAGCGUGUCAGUGAUGCUGACAGCUGCUGUCCAGAUGCUUUGGCUUCCCAAAGUAGCAGAUCGGCCCUCCUACGGAAGAAAUGAUGAAAAAUUGCGAAUACCAGCAAAUCGAUCUGGAGGCACUGUCAACACCCGCCCCCACCCCUUCACCCCAACCCGUCACUGACAAUGGGAAGGAGGAGGAGAAGACGGCGAAAAAACAGCGAAGAAAGUGGGAAGUUUUCCAGGGGAAGAAUCGCUUUUGUUGCGAUGGGAGGAUCAUUAUGGCCCGGCAGAGUGGGGUGCUACCCCUCACCCUGGGCCUCAUCCUACUCACCAGUGUGUUAUUCUUCAUAUUUGAUUGCCCCUUCCUGGUCCAGCACCUGACCGUGUGCAUCCCUGUGAUUGGUGGAGCCCUGUUUGUGUUCGUGGUCAUCACACUGGUGCAGACCAGCUUCAGCGACCCCGGCAUCCUGCCCAGAGCCACCCCUGACGAAGCUGCUGAUGUGGAGAAGCAGAUCGACGACGCCGGCAACACCACCUACCGCCCGCCGCCGCGCACCAGGGAGGUGCUCAUCAACCAGCAGGCGGUGAAGCUCAAGUACUGCUUCACCUGCAAGAUGUUCCGGCCCCCGCGCACCUCCCACUGCAGUCUGUGUGACAACUGCGUAGAGCGCUUCGACCACCACUGCCCCUGGGUGGGCAACUGCGUCGGCAAGCGCAACUACCGCUUCUUCUACACCUUCAUCGUGUCGCUCUCCUUCCUGACGGCCUUCAUCUUCGGCUGCGUGACCACCCACCUUGCACUGAGGGCUCAAGAUGGAAAAGGCCUGGUGUUCGCACUGCAGGAGAGUCCUGGCAGUGCGGUGGAGCUGGUCAUCUGCUUCUUCUCCGUCUGGUCCAUCCUGGGCCUCUCGGGCUUCCAUACCUACCUGGUUGCUUCCAAUCUCACCACCAACGAAGACAUCAAAGGCUCGUGGACGGGGAAGAGUGGCGCGGAGGCGGCCACCAACCCGUACAGCCACAGAAACAUCUUCGUCAACUGCUGCUCUGUUCUCUGUGGACCCAUGCCCCCCAGUCUGAUUGACAGGCGGGGCUUCCUAUCAGCGGAGGAGGAGGCGGCUGCGGCGGCGGCGCCACAGGCUACCAGCAGAGAGGUGGAGCUGCCCGUCCUGGCCUCCAAGAAGGACAUAAAUGUGGUAGGAACGUGGCUUAUGGUUUGCAGGAAUCUCCUUUCGCUUGAACAACCCCCUAACCCAGUGGUUUUCAAACUGUGGGGCGCACCCCCCCUGGGGGGCGCCAGAGUUCUUCAGGGGGGGCAAAAAAGAAUCCCGAAAAAAACCCUGAAAGGCGAUGAUUCAAAUCAUCAGUCGUACUUCAACUGUAGAAGUAACAUAACUAAAUAAAUUUUCAACCGUUUAUCUUCGUGCAAACCAUUUCACAAACCUACACACUUGUAUCUUCAAUAAUAUCGAAACAGAAUUUCGAUAUCAUUUAAAAUUUCUUCAGAAUCACAGUUUUAGUUUCAUACCGCUUCGUUUUCAGCUGUUUUCAUUGAAGACGUCAGCCCAUUCUGAUACACCUACUUCUAGACAUCGUAACUCAUUCAUUUUUCAACCGUUUACCAUCGUUCAAACUAUUAAACAAAUCUACACACUUGUAUCUUCAAUACUAUCUGAACGGAAUUUUUAUAGCAUUUAUACUUUUUUCAGAAUCACAGUUUUAGUUUCAAACCGGCAUCGUUUUCAGUUGCUUAUAAUAAUUUAGGUCACCAUAGCAACGCCGGUAAACAAACCCCGCCGAAUAGUCGAAUCUCUGGACUGAAAAGGCAGAUCUGAUUCGACUCAGAAAAUACAGAGUCGGGGACCCUGAAUGAAUCUGUUUCAGCUGAAAAUUUUUCUCUGAGGGGGGGCUCACUCUCUCACACUUUGAAAACCCCUGCCCUAACCCCAUCCACAGCAAAAAACGUCUUCAUCGUUAGGAGAGCCUGGUUUCCUAGCAUAGCUGACCCCAUCCUGACCUCUUGACUGCGGCCUGCCAAGCCUCCAUGUUGUUAUUAAAAAUAAUUCUUAAAAUCAAAGCUUGAUUUUAAAUUGACCCCUAUGCACUGCUCAGAGUCUUUAGUCCACACUUCAGUUUCACACUCCGAUAUACUUGGUGAGAGGUUGAUGGUUCCAAUGCAACACCAUGGUCUCGCCUUAGCUCAGAAGGUUCUGCGAACACGGGCAAGAGCGAUUUUAAAGACGCCAUGCAGCACGGGGAAGAACAUGCACCGCACUGACCAACCAGCAGCAGGUGCACCAGACAUGCUUAAUGAGCUAAAGACGGCCGUUAGUCCGUUAUUCAAAUGAGAGCAGAAGAAGAAAGGGCAGAUGAGCGAUCAAAGAUGCGUCCUCGCGACGAAGGCCAGGUCCCAUUGUCGGGGGACUGGGGGAGGAUGUUCAUGUCUCUUCCUCCAUCGGCCUGAGAGGAAACGGACUCAGUGAAACAUCAGUGUCGCAUUAAGGGAAAACCAUAACACCCUAUCAAAUAAGAACAAAAACUUCUGAAAAACAGCUUUUUUUAUUUAAGUGCGGGACUAUAUUUAACGGGGACAAGCAAUAUCUUUCAAGAAAUGUGGGUGCAUGCGUCCAUAUUGUUCUAUGUUUUUAAAACCGCAUUCAAGUAGUGGUUUCGCCCAGAAUCAACCCAUAGAACCACAAUAUAACUGUCACUUUAAAUCUAAAUUAUACUCAACGUGUGUUGAAUAGCUAGGCUGUUGGUCUUAGUGCUUGCAUUUAGCGUUCUGCGUUCUUGUGAAAAGUCAAUGACUUCUGGUAAUUGCUAUAUUAUAAUAAUAGUCUAACAUAAAUAACCUGGAAAACACAGCAGGGAAGAAUCGGUGGGUUUUGGUUGUGUAUGCACUUGAUUUACAUGAAAAUAUGUGUAACGUCGACAAAAUAAAGUCCUGUCCACGACUGGUGA
Gadus macrocephalus (Pacific cod) is the source of this 3633-nucleotide RNA transcript. It is a transcript of the gene named palmitoyltransferase ZDHHC18-B-like, with no coding region annotated. The record is from RefSeq and is a predicted model, not a curated record. The transcript has 9 exons. NCBI's taxonomy places the organism in Eukaryota, Metazoa, Chordata, Actinopteri, Gadiformes, Gadidae.